GACCGGAUGCCGAUCUCGAAAACCUGUCCCAGUUCGGACUGGAGUCUGCAACCCGACUCCACGAAGUUGGAUUCGCUAGUAAUCGCGCAUCAGCCAUGGCGCGGUGAAUACGUUCCCGGGCCUUGUACACACCGCCCGUCAAGCCAUGGGAGCCGGGGGCGCCUGAAGUCCGGGACCGCGAGGACCGGCCUAGGGCGAAACUGGUGACUGGGGCUAAGUCGUAACAAGGUAAC
Molecule: ribosomal RNA, 233 nt
Filed under: uncultured bacterium
Lineage: Bacteria
Description: partial 16S ribosomal RNA
Rfam family: Bacterial small subunit ribosomal RNA
Source: RNAcentral